This 577-nucleotide ribosomal RNA is filed under the name Gomphonema micropus. RNAcentral's name for it is "eukaryotic LSU rRNA". It matches the Rfam family "Eukaryotic large subunit ribosomal RNA", at positions 22 to 673 of the family's 3401-position model. Lineage: Eukaryota; Bacillariophyta; Bacillariophyceae; Cymbellales; Gomphonemataceae. The record is from RNAcentral.
UACCCGCUGGAAUUAAGCAUAUUAUUAAGCGGAGGAAAAGAAACUAACUAGGAUUCCCCCAGUAAGGGCGACUGAAGCGGGAAAAGCUCAAGAUGUUAAUCGGCGUCUCGGCGCUGAAUUGUGGUCUAUAGAUUCUCACGCUAUUGGUAGGGUUAAGUCCCUUGGAACAGGGCGGCAUAGAGGGUGAAACCCCCGUAAACCUUACCUUUCGAGUGAGUAUCAACGAGUCGAGUUGUUUGGGAUUGCAGCUCUAAGCAGGUGGUAAAUUCCAUCGAAAGCUAAAUAUUGGUGGGAAACCGAUAGUGUACAAGUACCGUGAGGGAAAGAUGCAAAGAACUUUGAAAAGAGAGUUAAAGAGUACCUGAAAUUGCUGAAAGGGAAGCGAAGGAAACCAGUGUUGAUUGAAUCAUAUUUUCUUGUUUGCUUGCAGGCAGGACGCUGUGAUAGAUCUAGUCUCACUUGGUUGAAUUGAAUUCAACUGCACAGGGGGAGUUGACCCCUGUUUGCUGGAUUUAGCUUGACUGAGCUGAGACAAAAUGGUUUUCUUCUCCCCGUCUUGAAACACGGGACCAAGGAA